GUCCCUUUCCUCAUCUGUAGAAAAGGAGUAAUAAUACUGCUCUAUGACAGGGCUUGUGAGAAGAAGAAUGUGCUAAAGUGUGCAGGAAGCACUCUGUAGUGCUACGUAAGUACUGGUUACUACCUAAAAUCUCACUCCUUGAAGGUGUUAAAAAUGGUGUCUUUUGGCCACGCGUGGCAGCUCAGGCCUGUCAUACUAGCACUCUGGGAGGGUGAGAUGGGCAGAUUGCUUGAGGCCAAGAGUUCAAGAUCAGCCUGGCCAACAUGGUGAAAUCUCCUCUAUAUGAAAAAUACAAAUAUUAACCAGGCGUGGUGGCAAGUGCCUGUAGUCCCAGCUACUCAGGAGGCUGAGAUAUGAGAGUCGCUUGAACCUGGGAGGAGGAGGCUGCAGUGAGCCAAGAUCACACCACUGGACUCUAGCCUGGGCACAGAGCCAGACUCUGUGUCAAAAAAAAAAAAAAAAAAAGAUAUCUUUUAUCUGUUGUCCCUCCUAUGAUUUUUGUAUUUUAAUCAGAGCUUUGUGAAAGGGCCAAAUGAAUUAACCUCAAGGGAUAGAAAAACAGGGACAGGAACAGUCUAGAGAUCUUUCUAUCCCAAAUGCAGCUGUUGGAAACACUGGUCCUUUCCCUCAGAUAUUCUCCAGUCUAACGCUGACUUUGAAUUAAGAAGAAUGGGGGUGACUGCUUAAGAAUCAUCACAGAUCUGUUCGAUCAAGUUUGGCCUAAAAAUCUCUCUGUGCAUCAUCAACUGUAACAAGUGGAGACAUAAACAGACCAUAGCCUACACUUGUGCCAAUCACCGAGUUUUGGCCAAUCAAAUGUAGCCAACUGUCCAAACUGUGUUCAGAUAAGGCAAACUGUCACCAGGCAGGUUGUUUCUGUAACUCACUUCUGUUUUCUGUACCUCACUUUCCUUUUUCUGUCCAUAAAUCUUCUUCUACCACAUGGCCGUGCUGGCGUCUCUGGGCAUACUCUGACUCAGGGGGCUGACCGAUUUAUGAAUCGUUCAUUGUUCAAUUCAACUCUUUUAAAGUUAAUUCAGCUGAAGUUUUUCUUUUAUCAGAUCAAAGACUUAAUCCAGGAAACAGGUUGGUCAAGGCUAAAAUAGGCUCAACAUCAUUCUCUACAUUAAAUAUUAUAGCACAAGGGAACUCACAGCCAUUCUCUUUUUAGAUUUUACUCUUCUCCAUGCUGAAUACAAAGAAAAUAGGUUGGCAGUUAACAGGACAUACGUAAAGUGACUAAUGUUAGCAAAGAAAAAUCACCAAAAAUAGGAAAUUCAUAACACGGACUUGGAUGGUUUACUUCCUCAGGAUCACUCAUAAAUCUCAACGUGUCUGACUAAAAUCUACUCAUUAGCAAAAUGAAAGAAAACUUAUGGAAGACCAAUGAUUUGGGAUGAGCUUCUUCUGCACUAGGUCUCAACAGACCAACCCAAAAUGGAGUCACUUACGCUAAUGUUCCCAUUCACCAAACUGAACUAAACUGUUUACUUGUACGAUCUCACCUGAGAAGUCAAGAGAGAGAUGAUAGCCAAACCCCCAGACAGGACCAAGAAGCAAAGAUGGAUGUGGGUGUGUGACUAGAGGAUCCUGAAGAGCAGAAGAUUAGUCACAUGUGCUGUGAUCGCCUGUUUGCCCUGCAAAGCACGUGUCUCUUACUAACAUCAAUAGAAUCUGAACCCAUGGAACAGAUCUUUGUCAAUUAUUAUUGUUAUUAGUUUUCUUUUUUAUUUAAUGGUUAAGAUUCUGCACCCUCUUCAGGUUUCUAGAUUUCUUUUCUUAUGUAUCUUGAUGAGAAGCAAAACUUGCUUCCCAUUGUAGAAGUGGAAGGCUCAUUUCCCAGCCUCCUUUGCAGUUGGGGUUCGGAAUAUGACUGAGCUCUUUGUCAGAUACACCCCUCUAGUGGGACAAGGAAACUGUGAGGAGGAGGAACAUUUCUGGAGGUUGUUCACAGCACUGUCAACAAUGUGGACUUUCUAGUGACAACAGUGGCUGAAGAGUACCAGAUGCAGAGUGACUGGUGACAUCAGGGGCAAGCUGUGACGUCCAGCUUUAUCCUAGAUGGGCUCUGGAGCAAAAUUUUGGCUGUGGUCCUGGCGGCUGCCAGGGCUUAUUUGCUCCUGCUCAAUUCUUAAGCCUUGUUUUGAAGCCUGUGAAAUACACAAUACCCUUUUAUUAAAUGCUUUUUCUGCUGAACUCAACCA
Molecule: non-coding RNA, 2204 nt
Organism: Callithrix jacchus (white-tufted-ear marmoset)
Lineage: Eukaryota; Metazoa; Chordata; Mammalia; Primates; Cebidae
Source: RefSeq, a predicted model, not a curated record